Molecule: ribosomal RNA, 443 nt
Filed under: uncultured bacterium
Lineage: Bacteria
Description: partial 16S ribosomal RNA
Rfam family: Bacterial small subunit ribosomal RNA
Source: RNAcentral
CCUACGGUGGGCAGCAGUGGGGGAUAUUGGACAAUGGGGGGAACCCUGAUCCAGCGACGCCGCGUGAGUGAAGAAGUAUUUCGGUAUGUAAAGCUCUGUCAGCAGGGAAGAAAGAAAUGACGGUACCUGACCAAGAAGCCCCGGCUAACUACGUGCCAGCAGCCGCGGUAAUACGGAGGGGGCAAGCGUUAUCCGGAAUUGCUGGGUGUAAAGGGAGCGUAGAGGGUUAAGUAAGUCUGGCGUGAAAGGCCGGGGCCCAACCCCGGGACUGCUCUGGAAACUAUUUGACUUGAGUGCAGGAGAGGUAAGCGGAAUUACUAGUGUAGCGGUGAAAUGCGUAGAUAUUAGGAGGAACACCGAGGGCGAAGGCAGCUUACUGGACUGUAACUGACGUUGAGGCUCGAAAGCGUGGGGAGCAAACAGGAUUAGAUACCCUAGUAGUC